Molecule: transfer RNA, 65 nt
Filed under: Poecilasma litum
Lineage: Eukaryota; Metazoa; Arthropoda; Thecostraca; Poecilasmatidae
Description: tRNA-Lys
Rfam family: tRNA
About the family: Transfer RNA (tRNA) molecules are approximately 80 nucleotides in length. Their secondary structure includes four short double-helical elements and three loops (D, anti-codon, and T loops).
Source: RNAcentral
CGUAAAAUAGCUUAAGAUAAAGCAUUAAACUUUUAAUUUAAAAAUAGAAACCUUUCUUUUUGCGA